This 1002-nucleotide long non-coding RNA is filed under the name Olea europaea subsp. europaea. Lineage: Eukaryota; Viridiplantae; Streptophyta; Magnoliopsida; Lamiales; Oleaceae. The record is from RNAcentral.
UGUUAAACACUUAUAUUAAGGAUUUGAUGUUGAAAUUCUCCAUUUUCCUAAAAAAAAUUCUGGUUAUGUAAUGAAAAUGCUAUUUUUGAAAUUUUCCCAGAAAAAUGUUAUUUCUAUCCAUAUUUUGGUGACAGUUUUCAAUAUACAGAAUUUGGUGUCAUAAUUCAAUAUUGUGGAACUUUAGUAUCGUUUUUGUCAAACAUCUGAUUUUCAGAUUCUAAAGGUUUGAAUGAAGAUAUAUGACAAAUGUUAAAGCCUAUGUAUUGGACUAAAUUAUUUAUAGGGGUUGUGUAUAUACAAGCUAAGUUAUACCAUUUUUGUUAAACCCUAGAAUUUUAAUUAGAUUCUAGAGUAAAGAUAGUUUGGGAAAAUGACAGUUAUCACGAAUAUUCACUUGGAAGAAUGGUUUUAUGGAACAAAAUGUAAAUUUAAUUGGUUGAAUUAUGGUUAUUAGUUUUGCUAGAUUGGAAGAUGGGAUGAUUAUUCUCAUGAUUAGAAUAAAGGUUAUUGUUAUGAAUUAGCUAUUAGAUAAUGGACUAGAGGGUGGAAUUAGCUUAAAGUCAUUAAGGGAAAUUGGGGGAAAAUUAUUCAAGUAUCGAGAAAUCAAGUUUUAGAUUCGAUCAUCAAUAUUUAAAACUACUUAGAAGGAUAGUGGUUAAAUUAGUUUACAUUGUCUUUCAGGUGGUGGCGAAGAGUUGGGAAAAACUUGUCGACUAUCAUAACUAGUAGCUUGUUUAGAGUGAGUGAAUAUAAAACUUAUUUUUCUGAAAUUAUUUAUUUAUUAAAUUUACGUUAGAUUAGAAAAUUUACUUUUUCAGAUUUGACGGCAUGAUUUUUAGAAUAAAGUGGAUUUAUAAUCAGUUGUUUUUAAAGUUAAAUUCAGUUCAAUUAAAUCAUUUCAAUAGCAUGUUCCAUUCGUAUUACAUGUUUUAGUAUAUCUAAAGUUAUUUCUAAAAACCACCAGAAAGUACCCAAGUGAUUUUACCUCAGUUUGCACUGGUG